RNAcentral lists this ribosomal RNA (616 nucleotides) under Enterococcus casseliflavus. RNAcentral's name for it is "bacterial SSU rRNA". It matches the Rfam family "Bacterial small subunit ribosomal RNA", at positions 61 to 649 of the family's 1533-position model. The record is from RNAcentral. Lineage: Bacteria; Bacillati; Bacillota; Bacilli; Lactobacillales; Enterococcaceae.
GUCGAACGCUUUUUCUUUCACCGGAGCUUGCUCCACCGAAAGAAAAAGAGUGGCGAACGGGUGAGUAACACGUGGGUAACCUGCCCAUCAGAAGGGGAUAACACUUGGAAACAGGUGCUAAUACCGUAUAACACUAUUUUCCGCAUGGAAGAAAGUUGAAAGGCGCUUUUGCGUCACUGAUGGAUGGACCCGCGGUGCAUUAGCUAGUUGGUGAGGUAACGGCUCACCAAGGCAACGAUGCAUAGCCGACCUGAGAGGGUGAUCGGCCACACUGGGACUGAGACACGGCCCAGACUCCUACGGGAGGCAGCAGUAGGGAAUCUUCGGCAAUGGACGAAAGUCUGACCGAGCAACGCCGCGUGAGUGAAGAAGGUUUUCGGAUCGUAAAACUCUGUUGUUAGAGAAGAACAAGGAUGAGAGUAAAAUGUUCAUCCCUUGACGGUAUCUAACCAGAAAGCCACGGCUAACUACGUGCCAGCAGCCGCGGUAAUACGUAGGUGGCAAGCGUUGUCCGGAUUUAUUGGGCGUAAAGCGAGCGCAGGCGGUUUCUUAAGUCUGAUGUGAAAGCCCCCGGCUCAACCGGGGAGGGUCAUUGGAAACUGGGAGACUUGAGUGC